AUUCUUGAGGACAAGAAUGAUUUAAAGGAGUGGGAAAUGUUAUGAGAGAGGGUUAUGGAGGGAAAAGCUAGUAUUGCAGUUAAAUAUGGAAGGGUGGUUAUAACUGAUAGAAGCAGUUACGAGCUAGAAGUAGCAUAAAAAUAGAAAGAGUACCUGCAAUCACUCAUUUCAGAAUGAAAUACAAGAAAUAUCUCUCUUCUUCUUCUCUAUAU
RNAcentral lists this unclassified non-coding RNA (212 nucleotides) under Hevea brasiliensis (rubber tree). The record is from RNAcentral. Lineage: Eukaryota; Viridiplantae; Streptophyta; Magnoliopsida; Malpighiales; Euphorbiaceae.